GAUGAACGCUGGCGGCGUGCUUAACACAUGCAAGUCGAACGGAAAGGCUCCUGCUUGCAGGGGUACUCGAGUGGCGAACGGGUGAGUAACACGUGGGUGAUCUGCCCUGCACUUCGGGAUAAGCCUGGGAAACUGGGUCUAAUACCGGAUAGGACGAUGGUUUGGAUGCCAUUGUGGAAAGUUUUUUCGGUGUGGGAUGAGCUCGCGGCCUAUCAGCUUGUUGGUGGGGUAAUGGCCUACCAAGGCGUCGACGGGUAGCCGGCCUGAGAGGGUGUACGGCCACAUUGGGACUGAGAUACGGCCGAGACUCCUACGGGAGGCAGCAGGGGGGAAUAUUGAACAAUGGGCGCAAGCCUGAUGCAGCGACGCCGCGUGGGGGAUGACGGCCUUCGGGUUGUAAACUCCUUUCGCUAGGGACGAAGCGCAAGUGACGGUACCUGGAGAAGAAGCACCGGCUAACUGCGUG
RNAcentral lists this ribosomal RNA (466 nucleotides) under uncultured bacterium. Its description in RNAcentral is "partial 16S ribosomal RNA". It matches the Rfam family "Bacterial small subunit ribosomal RNA", at positions 28 to 507 of the family's 1533-position model. The record is from RNAcentral.